Molecule: long non-coding RNA, 1451 nt
Organism: Coccinella septempunctata (seven-spotted ladybird)
Lineage: Eukaryota; Metazoa; Arthropoda; Insecta; Coleoptera; Coccinellidae
Exons: 3
Source: RefSeq, a predicted model, not a curated record
UAUAGAAGGGGGGAGAUUGAGCUUCGACCACUGCGCAUCCUAUUUUCAUGGGACAAAAGUGGGUCCGCCAUUUGUCAGGUCAUAGCACGGUAUUAUGAGCACGGUUUAACAAUUUAGUGAAUAUUCUUGUCAUUUAGCUGCCAUUGCCUGCUGUCAAGUCAAACGAAUGUAAACAAUAAUAACAAAUAUCAACGUAUUUUUGGUGAUAUUUAGCGGAUUCGUAUGGUUUUAUUAGCUUUUUUCGCUGAAUAGCAGGAUAUUUACGAUGGCUUACUUCACAAUUAUAGUAUUUCUCCUUCAAAAUUUAUGAAAAGACUCAGCGAAUUGGAAAAACUCCAAGCAUCAUAUAGAAGGAAAUUAUACAAUUAAGUCUCUAAAAAAUAAAAUACAACACAUUAAAGAAGUGAUGGACUUUUUGAGACAAGAUCAACGUAUUUCUGAAAAUGCUGCCCAUUAUUGGGAGAAAUCUUUUGAUUCAGUGCCACAUUGAUGAAAAGAUAUUUAAAAAAUGUAGAGAAUGAUACUGUGACCCUUAAAGUUCCAGUCUUGAGGGAAUUGUAAUAUUCUUCAAAAAUCAAGGGGGACUUCGUGUACCAUCAUAUGGAAUUAUAACGAUAUGUCAAUCAGGAAUUUGAUGAUUUCAACUAAAAAUAGAGUUCCAAGAGAUGAAAAUUUUCUCGAUGCAUUUGCAACAAUUCAGUCCCAAAAAUUUUAUGAUCGAGUUGAUGAUUUGUUCCUUCCUUGAAAGAACAUUUUUUUAUAUUCUUCAGUGAUUGGCAGACAUCAUGGCUUUCUUUUAGUGAAAAAUAUUGCCAGAUCUCUCAUUUUAAAAUUAGAAUAUUCAAUCUGAAAAAAGUUUAUACUGAAAAAUUCAAGGUUCUGCAAUUAGAAGACUUCAUCACUUGAUUUUAUGCAGCAAUCGAUACUGGAUAUACAAUAUUGUAUAAAUAAAAUGAAUAGAAAAAUGUUUUUUUUCUUUUAUAUAUUUAAUGCCAGUAGCUACUGAAAAAUGUACCGACUUGUUAGCUUUCAUCAUAUCAUGUCUUACUUCCAAUAAAAAAUAUCAUAUCAAAUUAUCCACUUUGUGCAAAAAAUUUAGUGUCCUUCAGAUAGACAAAAUCAUGUUUCCUCAGAAGCAGAAAAUAAAAAUUAAAACUUAAUAGCAGAAUUCCAGAAUUGCAUCUCGAAGGAAAGUGGGCGAGCAAUUUUUCAAGUUACUUUCCUCUGAUCGUAAUUAGGGAACAGUAGUGAAAAGAAGCGAUUCUGGAACAAACCAAAUAUUGGUGACGCUUCGAAGUCUAUAUAUAUCAGACUACCCCAUAAGACCAAAUUGCUAGAAUCUUCGAAAUCAUGGAUUUUAUUUUGAAAACGUUACCUAUUUUGAUAUUUCGUUUCAUGUUUUUGUUUGUUGUUAGGAAACUAUUUUUUCCACUGAUUGGCUCCCAACCAGA